RNAcentral lists this transfer-messenger RNA (73 nucleotides) under Muribaculaceae bacterium. RNAcentral's name for it is "partial transfer-messenger RNA". It matches the Rfam family "transfer-messenger RNA", at positions 301 to 374 of the family's 374-position model. From Rfam's summary of the family: Bacterial tmRNA, also known as 10Sa RNA or SsrA, is named for its dual tRNA and mRNA-like properties. Its role is to liberate the mRNA from a stalled ribosome. To accomplish this part of the tmRNA is used as a reading frame that ends in a translation stop signal. Lineage: Bacteria; Pseudomonadati; Bacteroidota; Bacteroidia; Bacteroidales; Muribaculaceae. The record is from RNAcentral.
UCACAGACUAAGCAUGUAGAAAGCUUAUUGGUUCCGCGUUUGGACGAGGGUUCAAUCCCCUCCAGCUCCACCG